CAUAUACCCCCUCCGUUCCACAAUACAUGCCUUCUAUUUGUCAAAAUAUAGAUGUAUCUAGACAUGUUUUAGUAUAUAGGUACAUCCAUUUUUGGACAAAUGGAAGUCAAGUAUUUUGGAACGGAGGGGUAGUUG
Triticum aestivum (bread wheat) is the source of this 135-nucleotide non-coding RNA. The record is from Rfam. Lineage: Eukaryota; Viridiplantae; Streptophyta; Magnoliopsida; Poales; Poaceae.